Molecule: long non-coding RNA, 5537 nt
Filed under: Daucus carota (carrot)
Lineage: Eukaryota; Viridiplantae; Streptophyta; Magnoliopsida; Apiales; Apiaceae
Description: long non-coding RNA (DCAR_LNC005957)
Source: RNAcentral
GGAUACUAUGGAAAUGCAUUUGCAUUCCCUGCAGCUGUGACGACAGCUAGAAAGCUGUGUCAGAAUCCAAUUGGAUAUGCAUUGGAGCUUGUUAAGAAAAUUAAAAAAGAUUUUAGUGAAGAGUAUAUGAGAUCUGUCGCAGACCUAAUGGUUUUGAAAGGACGACCCCCCUCCACAGCUGUGCGAAUAUUUCAUGUGUCUGACGUGACACGUUCAGGAUUAGGAGACGCUGAUUUUGGUUGGGGAAGACCUGUUUACGCUGGUGCAGCCAGAGGUGGGGUGGGUAACAGACCUGUGGCGGCAACCUUUUACGUAUCAUGCAAGAACAAGAAGGGUGAGAAUGGAAUUGCUGUGACAGUUUCCCUGCAAGCGUCUGUAAUGGAAAAGUUUGCAGCAGAACUCGACCACUUGUUGAAGAACAAUGACCAACUGGUCAUCAAUAAUACUUCAAUUCCUACCAAAUCAGCCCUCUAGAUUUUUCUUGGCCUUGUUUGGUAAAGGGGAUUUAAACUAUCGGCUAAAAAUAAAUAAGGCGAUUCUUGUAGUAAUUCUAUGUCUGUAAACUAUCUACCUAUCUCCUAAUUAUGGGGUGAAUAAUUAUAUGAAGACAAUGGUACAAGCUAGUUUUGGACCAAUGAAUUGAUUAAAGGUCAGGCUGUCUUAACUUGAUCAUUUUCUGGCUUUAUUGAACUUACCUGCUUUGCUUCUUCUGGUAAUGACUGCUUUUAAAUUAGUAGUUGCUGCCUAUUAAAAUCUCCCUUCCGGUCCUCUCUGAUAUUGAUGAUCAAGAAAUCUAAAUCACCGAAUUGCAGUCAUCCUAUUUUACAAGAAGAAAAAUGUGUCCGUUGAUGUACUAAAUACGUGAAAGUCAUUAGAGCAUGUCCAAUGGAGGUGCUAAAGUUGGUGCUAUUGCUAUAAUAUAGCAUUCAAGCACAAAACUCAACUCCAAUAAGAUCCUAAAUUUGAAUGUAAAAAAGCAAAAUGCUAUACAUGGUUCUAAAUAUAGAACCAAGUAUAGAUGGUGCUAUAAUUGCCACAUAAGCAUGCAAGUGACAAAAUAUAUUAAUAAAGUAAUAGUGACAAAUAUAAUUAUGUACUUUAACAUUAUAUAGUGAGAAUAUAGCUUUAUUUGAAUAUGUUUGGUUCUAUUUCACAUUUAUCAGAGCAAGUCCAAUGCAAUGUUAUAAGUGGUGCCAUUUUUAUAAUUUGAAAUCAAAUGCUAAAAAUCUCAACUACAGUGAGGUUCUAUACUUGGAUGCAAAUAUGCAUAUAUGCAUACUUGGUUCUAAAUUUGAAACCAAGGAUGCAUAAAUGCAUCCAUGUCACAUCAUCAACUAACUAUAAUUGAUAUAUAUAGUGGUGAACUUUAAACAAAGUUUAGGAGAGAGAGACUAAAGUUACUUAAUUUUGAAAUUAUUUGGAUGCAAAAUGCUUCUAGCAUUGGAGUUGAAGUUCUAUUUUAGCAACAAAAAACACUUUUUGGUGCUAAAUUAUAACAAUAGCUAUAGCUAUUUUGCAUCUUGCAUUGGACUUGCUCUCAUUGGACCAUAAGUUCUAUUUUAGCAUCAAAAAUCACUUUUUGAUUUCAAAUUAUAAAAAUAACUAGAUCUAUUUUAAAAUCACCAUUAGACUUGCUCUUAUAGAAGCACUUUCCAAAACUCCUGUACCUUACUACCCGUUUGCUGGCCGGCUACGAGAGGGCUAUGGCCGCAAACUGGCAGUGGAGUGGGGUGAUGUUCACUGAAGCUAAUGCUAAUGUUACACUUAAGCAAUUGGUAAUGUAAUUUAUCCACCAUUUCCAUGUUUCGAGGAGCUUCUCUUUGAUGUGCCUGGUUGUGCUGGACUUCUUGAUUGUCCUCUCCUCCUUAUACAAGUAUAUUUCUUUUGAUAUUAUAUAUUUCUGUGCUUGUGUAGAAUUCCUGCACCAAUGGUGCGGAUCUUUUGGAGAGGAAGGAUAAGAAAGCGGAAGUGUUUAAUUACAAAAUUUAUCUUACUACUUUUCAGCAAACUUGAUCUUCCUUGCAAUCAUGCUUAAAAUUAACUUUACUCAAUAUGAAAGUGUUUUCACAAUAGUAUAAUUAUUAUUAAAAUGAUUUUUUUUUUUUUUGUGAUUUAACUUUGUUGGUGGAAUAUCUGUUACAAUAAAAGUUCUAAGAGCAUCUCCAACGGCGUUGGCUAUAAUCUUUGGCUAAAUUGAACCUGUAAGACAUUAUGUAAAAUUUGCUGAACCGGUAAGACAUUGUACUUUAAUGGUAUUAGCUAUAUUGGUUGGUUAUAAUAUAAAAAUAGAAUGUUAUUAAUAUUUUAGUUUGUUAAAAUAGAAGAUAUCAGUUUAAUAUGGUAGCCAUCCAAGUUGGCUAAAAUUAUAUACAACAGAUUCACGUGGUUGGAGUAUGAUUUUUUCAACAUGUUGGCUAAUUUUUUUAUGUUUGGAAUGCCAACUCUUUUCAUUUUUUAGCUCUUGGAUUUGUAUGGUUGGAGAUGCUCUAACAAAUAUAAAAGUAUUUUCUUAAUAAUAUAAUAAUAAUUAUAAUAUCCUAACUAAUAUUAAAGUCUUUGAUUAUAAAAUUUUAAUCAAUAUGAAAGUCUUUUAUUAUUAUAUAAUAAUUAUUAUAAAAUUCUAAUUAAUAUGGAAGUCUUUUAAUAAUAAUAUAAUGAUUUGAUUAUCAAAUAAAAAAAAUUAUCAUCAUAACUAAAUUUUACUCUCUCUGUCCAAUCAGGUUCUUUAAAUUAUUUUUAGCACGCAUUUUGAGACUUUUAUAAAAUAUACUUACAUAAUAUAUAUAAUUUUUAAAAAAAUUCUGAAAAAAAAUUUGACGUUUAAUCUUUUAUUUAAAAAAGAUUUUUUAAAAACAAAUUAUAAAAUUAUAUUUUACAAGAGUCUCAAAAUGCAUGCAAACAGUCUACGUAAACAAUUUCACGGGACGGAGAGAGGGUGCACUGCUUUAGCAUUUGGUACGGUUAUCCUUAUUAAUAAUGAGUCCUGAUAUUCACUUAUUAAUAAUGAUUAUUAUUAGUUAUUUUAGAUAAAAAAUCACUAAAAUAUUAUUAAAUCAACUGAUUUCUAUCAAAGGUCGUAAAAUUUAAUUUGAAAUAUGAUAUAAGCAGAGUUCGUUCGAAAUUAACUACGAACGGCUUCUAGGAAACAUGCAGGUAGUCAGAAAAUUUUCAAAAUCAGCCGACUACAUAGAACAAGUGUUAAUGAUAAUAGGGUCCCAUUUUGUCAUCGCUUUAUGAGACGGGCCCACUCACCUUUCAUUGUGGUCGAAUUAUUACCCUGACCAGAUGAUAAAGACUGAUUCCUGCACGAUUACAACAUUAUCAAACUACUAGAAUUGCAGAUGAGACGAAAACACUCUUUGUUGUGUAGGAGAAAAUCUCAUGGCAGCUGCACAAGAGCCCCUGGUUUUCACAGUUACCAGGCGUGCCCCUGAGCUCAUCCCUCCGGCGAAACCAACCCCGUUCGAGUACAAACUCCUCUCCGACAUCGAUGAUCAGGGGAGUCUCCGUUUCCGAAUCCCCGUCAUCUAUUUUUACCGGAAGAGAAAUGACAAAAUGGACCCUGUGAAAGUCAUCAGGGAGGCUAUUUCGAAAACUCUGGUGUUUUACUACCCGCUUGCUGGGAGGGUGAGAGAGGGCGCUGGCAGGAAGCUGGGAGUGGAAUUCACUGGAGAGGGUGUGAUGUUCAUUGAAGCUGAUGCUGAGGUUACUAUUGAGGAGCUUGGAGGUGAUGCCAUUCAGCCGCCUUUUCCGUGUUUCGAGGAGCUUCUGUUUGAUGUACCUGGCUAUUCUGGAGUUCUUGAUUGUCCUAUCCUCCUUUUUCAGGUUUAAUUUCUCUUCAUUUUUAUCUCACUGGAGUGUUAAAGUGACUAAUUCUGCCAAAAUCUCGAGGUACCAUGAUCAUAUUAUAUUCUACAUUCCCUAUGACUCAAAAACCCAUUUAAAUGUCAAGGGGUUUGGAUGAAGGCUUAUUGAAUCAUAUUAUAUUUUAACACGGAGAGUGAAUGGAAAUGAGUGAGAGUAAAACUGUUAUGAUGAAUUUUGCUAGGAAAGUUGAGUAAGGAUAAAUUGAAGCUCAAAUCUAGAUUUAAUUUGUUAUGAAAGGAAUGAAAUUCAUAAACACGAUACGAAUAGAUUAAAUUUCAUUGCAUUCGCCUCAUUUUCAUUCACUCCAUCCGAACCCAACAUUAAAUUUCCCUAAUUUUCCAAUAGAGUUUGAGAGAUUUGAAAAUCAAGAUUUGGGGGUUAUUACUUGGUACUGUGGUGAUAGAGAGCAAAAAGAGAUGUAUCAGACUGUUUUGGUAGUGACUUGCACAAGUCAUUCUAAUGUAGUAACUUAACACACUGGUUGCCAUUAUCUACUAGUGGAAAUUAGGUGCUUGAUUAUAUGAAAACUUCCUUAAUUAAGUGGCAGCAAAUUAUGGUCCCCUUGUUAAGUAAAUGCAGAGCUAAGAGAACAGAGCAUAGCUAUUAACCGUUAUACUAUAUCAAUUGCUCGAAUUUCAUCUUCCUUGAACUCGUCAUUUGUAAUGAGAAAAUAAGAUUUCUUUGCAAAGAACUUGAUUCUUGUUCUACAGUGCUAUAUCACUUUUUAUCUCAUUGUCUCUACUGAUAACAUAUGCUUGUGUGUAAAUGUAGGUAACUCGACUCAAAUGUGGAGGAUUCAUAAUUGCUGUGCGCCUUAACCACACAGUGUCAGAUGCAGGUGGACUUGCACAAUUUGUGAAUGCUGUAGGUGAAAUUGCUAGAGGUGCAGAUUCCCCUUCUGUCCCUCCUGUGUGGCAAAGAGAAAUACUUAAUGCAAGGGAUCCCCCUCGUGUUACGUGCACACAUCAUGAGUAUGAUGAUGUGCCUGACAGGAAGGGAACCCUCAUCUCUGUCGGUAAUAUGGUCCAUCGUUCAUUCUUUUUUGGUCCUGCUGAGAUUCUGGUCCUCCGUCUAUUGGUUCCUUCUCACCUUAUCAAAUGUUCUACGUCUGAGUUGCUCACUGCUUGCUUAUGGCGGUGUCGCACUCGUGCCCUGCAGCUUGACCCUGAAGAGGAGGUGCGCCUGCUCUAUAAUAUCAAUGCACGCGGAAGAUUUAAUCCUCCCUUGCCUAAGGGAUACUAUGGAAAUGCAUUUGCAUUCCCGGCAGCUGUGACGACAGCUGGAAAGCUGUGUCAGAAUCCAAUUGGAUAUGCAUUGGAGCUUGUCAAGAAAAUUAAAAAAGAUUUUAGUGAAGAGUAUAUGAGAUCUGUCGCAGACCUAAUGGUUUUGAAAGGACGACCCCCCUCCACAGCUGUGCGAAUAUUUCAUGUGUCUGACGUGACACGUUCAGGAUUAGGAGACGCUGAUUUUGGUUGGGGAAAACCUGUUUACGGUGGUCCAGCCAGAGGUGGGGUGGGUAACAGACCUGUGGCGGCAAGCUUUUACGUAUCAUGCAAGAACAAGAAGGGUGAGAAUGGAAUUGCUGUGACAGUUUCCCUGCAAGCUUCUGUAAUGGAAAAGUUUGCAGCAGAACUUGACGGCAUGUUGAAGAACAAUGACCAACUGAUCAU